This 501-nucleotide ribosomal RNA is filed under the name uncultured bacterium. RNAcentral's name for it is "partial 16S ribosomal RNA". It matches the Rfam family "Bacterial small subunit ribosomal RNA", at positions 30 to 523 of the family's 1533-position model. The record is from RNAcentral.
AUUGAACGCUGGCGGCAGGCUUAACACAUGCAAGUCGAGCGGAGAUGAGGUGCUCGCACCUUAUCUUAGCGGCGGACGGGUGAGUAAUGCUUAGGAAUCUGCCUAUUAGUGGGGGACAACAUUCCGAAAGGAAUGCUAAUACCGCAUACGUCCUACGGGAGAAAGCAGGGGAUCUUCGGACCUUGCGCUAAUAGAUGAGCCUAAGUCGGAUUAGCUAGUUGGUGGGGUAAAGGCCUACCAAGGCGACGAUCUGUAGCGGGUCUGAGAGGAUGAUCCGCAACACUGGGACUGAGACACGGCCCAGACUCCUACGGGAGGAAGCAGUGGGGAAUAUUGGAAAAUGGGGGGAACCCUGAUCCAGCCAUGCCGCGUGUGUGAAGAAGGCCUUAUGGUUGUAAAGCACUUUAAGCGAGGAGGAGGCUACUGAGACUAAUACUCUUGGAUAGUGGACGUUACUCGCAGAAUAAGCACCGGCUAACUCUGUGCCAGCAGCCGCGGUAA